AAUAUUGGACAAUGGGGGCAACCCAGAUCCAGCCAUGCAGCGUGUGUUAAGAAGGUCUUCGGAUUGUAAAGCACUUUAAGUUGGGAGGAAGGGCUUUAGGUUAAUACCCUGAAGUUUUGACGUUACCAACAGAAUACGCACCGGCUACCUCUGUGCCAGCAGCCGCGGUAAUACAGAGGGUGCAAGCGUAAAUCGGAAUUACUGGGCGUAAAGCGCGCGUAGGUGGUUCAGUAAGAUGGGUGUGAAAUCCCCGGGCUUAACCUGGGAACUGCUUUCAUCACUGCUGAGCUAGAGUACGGUAGAGGGUAGUGGAAUUUCCUGUGUAGCAGUGAAAUGCGUAGAUAUAGGAAGGAACACCAGUGGCGAAGGCGACUACCUGGACUGAUACUGACACUGAGGUGCGAAAGCGUGGGGAGCAAAC
This 421-nucleotide ribosomal RNA is filed under the name uncultured bacterium. RNAcentral's name for it is "partial 16S ribosomal RNA". It matches the Rfam family "Bacterial small subunit ribosomal RNA", at positions 360 to 773 of the family's 1533-position model. The record is from RNAcentral.